This 1810-nucleotide ribosomal RNA is filed under the name freshwater metagenome. Its description in RNAcentral is "bacterial LSU rRNA". It matches the Rfam family "Bacterial large subunit ribosomal RNA", at positions 396 to 2309 of the family's 2925-position model. The record is from RNAcentral.
UUUCCCAGUCACGAUAGUUAGGGCGGGACACGUGUAAUCCUGUCUGAACAUGGGGGGACCACCCUCCAAGCCUAAGUACUCUCUAGCGACCGAUAGUGAACAAGUACCGUGAGGGAAAGGUGAAAAGAACCCCGACGAGGGGAGUGAAAUAGACACUGAAACCGAAUGCUUACAAGCAGUCGGAGCGGAAUUUAUUCCGUGACGGCGUACCUUUUGUAUAAUGGGUCAGCGACUUAGUUUGUCGAGCGAGCUUAAGCCGUUAGGUGUAGGCGUAGCGAAAGCAAGUCUUAAUAGGGCGAUAUAGUUCGACGAAUUAGACCCGAAACCGGGUGAUCUAGCCAUGGCCAGAUUGAAGGUGGAGUAACAUCUACUGAAGGAUCGAACCCACUAAUGUUGAAAAAUUAGGGGAUGAGCUGUGGCUAGGGGUGAAAGGCCAAUCAAACUCGGAGAUAGCUGGUUCUCCGCGAAAUCUAUUUAGGUAGAGCGUUAUAUGAUUACCACUGGAGGUAGAGCACUGGAUAAGCUAGGGGGUCCAACAGACUUACCAAACUUAACCAAACUCCGAAUGCCAGUGAGUACAGUAUAGCAGACAGACCAUGGGUGCUAAGGUCCGUGGUCGAGAGGGAAAGAGCCCAGACCGCCAUCUAAGGUCCCAAAAUCAUGACUAAGUGUUAAAGGAUGUGGGAAAACCAAAACAACUAGGAUGUUGGCUUAGAAGCAGCCAUCAUUUAAAGAAAGCGUAAUAGCUCACUAGUCUAAUUAAGUUUUCCUGCGCCGACAAUGUAACGGGGCUAAAGUCAUGUACCGAAGAUGCGGAUUCAUAUGUAAACAUAUGAGUGGUAGCGGAGCGUUCCGUAAGCCUGUGAAGGCAUCCUGUAAGGGCUGCUGGAGGUAUCGGAAGUGAGAAUGCUGACAUAAGUAGCGAUAAAGAAUGUGAGAGACAUUCUCGCCGAAAGUCCAAGGUUUCCUGCGUAAAGCUAAUCUGCGCAGGGUUAGUCGGCCCCUAAGGCGAGGCUGAAAGGCGUAGUCGAUGGGAAUCAGGUUAAUAUUCCUGAACCAAGAAGAAGUGACGAAGUUCAAAAAUUGUAUAUGCUUAUUGGAUUGUGUAUGCUAGUUGCGAGCUUCCAGGAAAUAACUCUUCAAUUAAGACCGUACCCUAAACCGACACAGGUGGACAGGUAGAGUAUACCAAGGCGCUUGAGAGAACGAUGCUGAAGGAACUAGGCAAAUUGCAUCUGUAACUUCGGGAGAAAGAUGACCUAUAAUUGGGCAACCAGUUGUAGGUGGCACAAACCAGGGGGUAGCGACUGUUUAUUAAAAACACAGGGCUCUGCUAAGUCAAUAGACGAUGUAUAGGGUCUGACGCCUGCCCAGUGCUGGAAGAUUAAAAGGAGGGGUGCAAGCUCUGAAUUGAAGUCCCAGUGAACGGCGGCCGUAACUAUGACGGUCCUAAGGUAGCGAAAUUCCUUGUCGGGUAAGUUCCGACCUGCACGAAUGGCGUAACGACUUCCCCAUUGUCUCCAGUAUCGACUCAGCGAAAUUGAAUUCUCCGUGAAGAUGCGGAGUUCCCGCGGCUAGACGGAAAGACCCCGUGAACCUUUACUAUAGCUUUGCAGUGGUAUUAGGAACUAGAUGUGUAGGAUAGGUGGGAGACUAUGAAGUGGGGGCGCCAGCUCUCAUGGAGUCAUCCUUGAAAUACCACCCUUCUAGUUCUUGAUAUCUAACCAAGCCCCUUGAAUCAGGGGCUGGGACCCUGCAUGGUAGGCAGUUUGACUGGGGCGGUCUCCUCCCUUUAUCGUGACUGGGAAAC